AAUGGGUCUGCGGCCGAUUAGGUUGUUGUUGGGGUAAGGGCCCACCAAGCCUUUGAUCGGUAGGGGCCCUGAAAGAGGGAGCCCCGAGAGGGACACUGAGAUACUGGUCCCAGCCCUACGGGGUGCAGCAGGCGCGAAAACUUUACACUGCACGAAAGUGUGAUAAGGGAAUCCCAAGUGCUUACACUCUGUGUAGGCUUUUGCCAAGGGUAAAUUCCUUGGCGAAUAAGUGGUGGGUAAGACUGGUGCCAGCCGCCGCGGUAACCCCAGCACCACGAGUGGGAAUCACGUUUAUUGGGCCUAAAGCGUCCGUAGCCUGUUUGUUAAAUCUUUUGUGAAAUCAUGAAGCUUAACUUUGUGGCGUGCAGAAGACACUGAUAAACUUGGGACCGGGAGCAGUUAGAAGUAUUCGAAGGGUAGCGGUAAAAUGUUCUAAUCCUUCGAAGACUACCUGUGGCGAAGGCGUCUAACUAGAACGGAUCCGACGGUGAGGGACGAAAGCCAGGGGAGCAAAACGGAUUAGAUACCCGAGUAGUCCUGGCCGUAAACUCUGUGAGCUAGGUGUUGCAUUUGCUUCGGGCAAGUGCAGUGUCGAAAUGAAGAUGUUAAGCUCACCGCCUGGGGAGUACGGUCGCAAGACUGAAACUUAA
RNAcentral lists this ribosomal RNA (650 nucleotides) under uncultured euryarchaeote. RNAcentral describes it as "SSU rRNA". It matches the Rfam family "Archaeal small subunit ribosomal RNA", at positions 208 to 859 of the family's 1478-position model. Lineage: Archaea; Methanobacteriati; Methanobacteriota. The record is from RNAcentral.